GCCACCGUAAGGUGAGAGGAAGGUGGGGAGUGACGUCAAAUACAGCACGGCCCUUAUGUCCAGGGCUACACACGUGUUACAAUGGUCGGUACAAAGGGCAGCUACACCGCGAGGUGAUGCUAAUCUCUAAAGCCGGUCUCAGUUCGGAUCGAAGUCUGCAACCCGACUUCGUGAAGUUGGAUUCGCUAGUAAUCGCGCAUCCAGCCAUGGCGCGGUGAAUACGUUCCCGGGCCUU
This 235-nucleotide ribosomal RNA is filed under the name uncultured Sphingobacteriales bacterium. RNAcentral's name for it is "partial 16S ribosomal RNA". It matches the Rfam family "Bacterial small subunit ribosomal RNA", at positions 1151 to 1382 of the family's 1533-position model. The record is from RNAcentral. Lineage: Bacteria; Pseudomonadati; Bacteroidota; Sphingobacteriia; Sphingobacteriales.